Molecule: ribosomal RNA, 497 nt
Filed under: Pseudomonas sp.
Lineage: Bacteria; Pseudomonadati; Pseudomonadota; Gammaproteobacteria; Pseudomonadales; Pseudomonadaceae
Description: bacterial SSU rRNA
Rfam family: Bacterial small subunit ribosomal RNA
Source: RNAcentral
AUGCAGUCGAGCGGAUGACGGGAGCUUGCUCCUUGAUUCAGCGGCGGACGGGUGAGUAAUGCCUAGGAAUCUGCCUGGUAGUGGGGGACAACGUUUCGAAAGGAACGCUAAUACCGCAUACGUCCUACGGGAGAAAGCAGGGGACCUUCGGGCCUUGCGCUAUCAGAUGAGCCUAGGUCGGAUUAGCUAGUUGGUGAGGUAAUGGCUCACCAAGGCGACGAUCCGUAACUGGUCUGAGAGGAUGAUCAGUCACACUGGAACUGAGACACGGUCCAGACUCCUACGGGAGGCAGCAGUGGGGAAUAUUGGACAAUGGGCGAAAGCCUGAUCCAGCCAUGCCGCGUGUGUGAAGAAGGUCUUCGGAUUGUAAAGCACUUUAAGUUGGGAGGAAGGGCAGUAAGCUAAUACCUUGCUGCUUUGACGUUACCGACAGAAUAAGCACCGGCUAACUCUGUGCCAGCAGCCGCGGUAAUACAGAGGGUGCAAGCGUUAAUCGG